CAAGAGCAACACUUUAACUCUGUUUUAUUAUCACCUUUUUGUUUAAGCUCAUGUAUCUUUUUCCUCAAAUUACUAGCCUUAUUUAGCAUAGCUUUCCUGUCACUCUGUAACAUAUCUAGCCUUUCAAUAUGUGCUUUAGCAGUUAAUUUCACAACAGUUAAUUUUUUUUCCUUUUGUCUUCUUGUGUAUCACAGUCACUCUCAUUAAUGUUCGUUUCAGCCGAUUGCGCAAUAGCCUCAGGCCUAUCCACGGUUUCACACGCAUCCAUUGUUUAGGUCAAUUCAGUAGUUCAGUAGUUCACAAAGUCAAUUGUCAUUUGCCUUUGACCACCAAUGCAUUGGAUUUCUGACUAGUGUGCACACAAACAUAAAAUGGCCAUUGAUAGUGUAGCGCUAGUCAUACCUCACGUUGGAGCCCUGCCAAACUCUGUGAACAACUCCACUGUCCGAAGAGAAGAGCAUCUCCUUUCCUGGGGCAGGACAUCCAGACGCCCCUGGUGGUCCACCCGGUGGCUUCCCUCGAGGGGGGGGGUCCCUGUCAGGAAUCGGCCCUCCUGAGCCUUUCGGGGCGUGUUUUUCCCUUUCCUUUUGUGUCUCUCACUGCCUCUGGUUCCUUAUGUGUGCAUUUUGUUCGUUUCUAUGUUUGUCUGUCAUUACAUCUCCCUUAUUCCCGGUACUCCCAGAAGGCACCACUGAUCCUGAGCACCUGCACCAGUCUACACACCUUGGGGGCUGAUUGCCACUCUCCCUAUAAAUGGGAGAGGUCUGCUUUUAGUCCCUGCUGGAUUAAUGCACAGCCACUUUGUUUCCAGACCCUUGUUCCGAGACCCGUCCUGCACCUUCCUCCCAACUACCUGGAUCACCAAUCAGCCUUCCCGUUAUCGACCUUCGCCUUGACUGACUCCCCGCACUGUUGACUGAACCCUGCCUGACCCUCUGACCAUUCUUGCCUCCCGGACUUCGUACCACUGCUACCCACUAUCCACCCUCCAACAAUACACUCAUACCCGUCUACGUAUUUCUUACGUAUCUCCAC
Esox lucius (northern pike) is the source of this 1035-nucleotide long non-coding RNA. NCBI's taxonomy places the organism in Eukaryota, Metazoa, Chordata, Actinopteri, Esociformes, Esocidae. The record is from Ensembl.